AGCUCCAAUAGCGUAUAUUAAAGUUGUUGCGGUUAAAAAGCUCGUAGUUGGAUCUCGGCAGGUAGGGGGCGGUUCGUUUCUGACGGCACUGCCCCAUUUACCUGUGUUUUUGACGGAGGUUUCACGGUGAUUUUCAUCGAUUGUCGUGAUACGCCGUCAGGUUUACUUUGAAAAAAUUAGAGUGCUCAAAGCAGGCUACAAGCUUGAAUAUUUGUGCAUGGAAUAAUGGAAUAGGAAGUCGUUUCUAUUUUUUUGGUUUUCGGAAAUUGACUUAAUGAUUAAUAGGGACAGCCGGGGGCAUUCGUACUCAGACGACAGAGGUGAAAUUCUUGGACCGCCUGAGGACGAGCUACUGCGAAAGCAUUUGCCAAGAGUGUUU
Molecule: ribosomal RNA, 379 nt
Filed under: uncultured eukaryote
Lineage: Eukaryota
Description: partial small subunit ribosomal RNA
Rfam family: Eukaryotic small subunit ribosomal RNA
Source: RNAcentral